GCCUGAGUGGCUCAGUAAGUUGAGCAUCUGACUUAGGCUCAGGUCCUGAUCUCACAGUUCAUGAGUUCAAGCCCCACAUCAGGCU
RNAcentral lists this transfer RNA (85 nucleotides) under Felis catus (domestic cat). It matches the Rfam family "tRNA". Rfam says of the family: Transfer RNA (tRNA) molecules are approximately 80 nucleotides in length. Their secondary structure includes four short double-helical elements and three loops (D, anti-codon, and T loops). Further hydrogen bonds mediate the characteristic L-shaped molecular structure. tRNAs have two regions of fundamental functional importance: the anti-codon, which is responsible for specific mRNA codon recognition, and the 3' end, to which the tRNAs corresponding amino acid is attached (by aminoacyl-tRNA synthetases). tRNAs cope with the degeneracy of the genetic code in two manners: having more than one tRNA (with a specific anti-codon) for a particular amino acid; and 'wobble' base-pairing, i.e. permitting non-standard base-pairing at the 3rd anti-codon position. The record is from Rfam by way of RNAcentral. RNAcentral also lists the same sequence under 1 other name. Lineage: Eukaryota; Metazoa; Chordata; Mammalia; Carnivora; Felidae.